Molecule: ribosomal RNA, 627 nt
Filed under: Tremella brasiliensis
Lineage: Eukaryota; Fungi; Basidiomycota; Tremellomycetes; Tremellales; Tremellaceae
Description: eukaryotic LSU rRNA
Rfam family: Eukaryotic large subunit ribosomal RNA
Source: RNAcentral
UAAGCGGAGGAAAAGAAACCAACAGGGAUUCCCUUAGUAACGGCGAGCGAACAGGGAAGAGCUCAAAUUUGAAAUCUGGCGUCCUCAGGGCGUCCGAGUUGUAAUCUGCAGAGGCGUCUUCCGCGCCGGUCCGCGUCCAAGUCCCUUGGAACAGGGUAUCAAAGAGGGUGACAAUCCCGUGCUUGACGCGACCGCCGGUGCUAUGUGAUACGUCCUCAAAGAGUCGAGUUGUUUGGGAAUGCAGCUCAAAACGGGUGGUAAAUUCCAUCUAAGGCUAAAUAUUGGCGAGAGACCGAUAGCGAACAAGUACCGUGAGGGAAAGAUGAAAAGCACUUUGGAAAGAGAGUUAAACAGUACGUGAAAUUGUUGAAAGGGAAACGAUUGAAGUCAGUCGUGUCCGAGGGGUUCAGCCGGUCCCGCCGGUGCACUCCCCUCGGACGGGUCAACAUCGGUUCCGACCGACGGAUAAGGGAGGGGGGAACGUGGCACUUCGGGUGUGUUAUAGCCCCCCGUCGCAUACGUCGGACGGGACCGAGGAACGCAGCUCGCCCUCACGGGCCGGGGUUCGCCCACGUCCGAGCUUAGGAUGUUGACAAAAUGGCUUUAAACGACCCGUCUUGAAACACG